Molecule: small RNA, 631 nt
Filed under: Pongo abelii (Sumatran orangutan)
Lineage: Eukaryota; Metazoa; Chordata; Mammalia; Primates; Hominidae
Description: processed transcript
Source: RNAcentral
ACAGCGGCAGCGGCGGCUGCGGCGCGCGCGAGCCGAGUGUGAGCGGAAAGGGGCCCGGCGUCUGCCUCGAGACUGAAGACCGAAGACAUGAAGUAGAAACAAUCCAGGCAGGCUUUGGGAAGUCAUUUGUGUGCGAGAAUCAAAGUGAGCAAGGAAGCCACGAGCGGCUGUGCCGGAACGCGGCCGUCUGCCCUUACUGCAGCCUCAGGUUUUUCUCGCCCGAGCUGAAGCAAGAACACGAGAGCAAGUGUGAGUAUAAGAAGCUGACCUGCCUCGAGUGCAUGCGCACCUUCAAGUCCUCUUUCAGCAUCUGGCGGCACCAGGUUGAGGUCCAUAAUCAGAACAACAUGGCACCCACCGAAAACUUUUCUUUGCCCGUUUUGGACCACAAUGGUGAUGUGACUGGUUCUUCAAGGCCCCAAUCCCAGCCUGAGCCCAAUAAAGUAAACCACGUCGUCACCACAAAAGACGACAACGUGUUCAGUGAUUCUUCAGAACAAGUCAACUUCGACUCGGAAGAUUCCUCUUGUCUCCCUGAAGACCUUAGUCUUUCCAAGCAACUGAAAAUCCAAGUCAAAGAGGAGCCUGUGGAGGAGGCUGAAGAAGAAGCACCCGAGGCCAGCACAGCCCC